This is a long non-coding RNA of Sinocyclocheilus grahami, 81 nucleotides long. RefSeq lists it as uncharacterized. The record is from RefSeq and is a predicted model, not a curated record. NCBI's taxonomy places the organism in Eukaryota, Metazoa, Chordata, Actinopteri, Cypriniformes, Cyprinidae. The transcript has 3 exons.
CGUCUUCACUGUCGAGAUCUGCAUGGGCUUUAAAGUGAAGCCCGAACCCGGCCCGUACCCGAGAUUGUCUGACCCGACCCG